RNAcentral lists this ribosomal RNA (228 nucleotides) under uncultured bacterium. Its description in RNAcentral is "partial 16S ribosomal RNA". It matches the Rfam family "Bacterial small subunit ribosomal RNA", at positions 568 to 795 of the family's 1533-position model. The record is from RNAcentral.
UGCGCAGGCGGAAAAUUAAGUCAGAAGUGAAAGCCCCGAGCUCAACUUGGGAACUGCUUUUGAUACUGAUUUUCUUGAAUAUAGUUGAGGUAGGCGGAAUACAACAUGUAGCGGUGAAAUGCAUAGAUAUGUUGUAGAACACCAAUUGCGAAGGCAGCUUACUAAACUAUUAUUGACGCUGAGGCGCGAAAGCGCGGGGAGCGAACAGGAUUAGAUACCCUGGUAGUC